UACGUAGGAGACGAGCGUUGUCCGGAAUUACUGGGCGUAAAGCGCGUGUAGGCGGAUGGGCAAGUCUGCUGUGAAAGCUCCUGGCUUAACCGGGAGUGGUCGGUGGAAACUGCCAAUCUGGAGGACGGUAGAGGUAGGUAGAAUUCCCGGUGUAGUGGUGAAAUGCGUAGAGAUCCGGAGGAACACCGAAGGCGAAGGCAGUGUCCUGGCGCGUAACUGACGCUGAGGUGCGAAAGCCAGGGGAGCGAACGGG
Molecule: ribosomal RNA, 253 nt
Filed under: uncultured bacterium
Lineage: Bacteria
Description: partial 16S ribosomal RNA
Rfam family: Bacterial small subunit ribosomal RNA
Source: RNAcentral